RNAcentral lists this ribosomal RNA (253 nucleotides) under uncultured bacterium. RNAcentral describes it as "partial 16S ribosomal RNA". It matches the Rfam family "Bacterial small subunit ribosomal RNA", at positions 524 to 776 of the family's 1533-position model. The record is from RNAcentral.
UACAGAGGGGGCAAGCGUUAUUCGGAAUUAUUGGGCGUAAAGGGCGCGUAGGCGGCUUGGCAAGUGGAUGGUGAAAUCCCUCGGCUUAACCGAGGAACUGCCGUCCAAACUGCUUUGCUUGAGACCGGGAGAGGUGAGUGGAAUUCCCAGUGUAGCGGUGAAAUGCGUAGAUAUCGGGAGGAACACCUGUGGCGAAAGCGGCUCACUGGACCACAACUGACGCUGAGGCGCGAAAGCUAGGGGAGCAAACAGG